Long non-coding RNA from Meriones unguiculatus (Mongolian gerbil), 1150 nucleotides. RefSeq lists it as uncharacterized. NCBI's taxonomy places the organism in Eukaryota, Metazoa, Chordata, Mammalia, Rodentia, Muridae. The transcript is spliced from 5 exons. The record is from RefSeq and is a predicted model, not a curated record.
GAAGCCAGGGCAGACUUUGCUCCCAGAGGCCUUGCAGUUUACUGGGUAAAGCGACUAGUCUGGUGGCUGGAGCAGCGCAGCACUUGAGAGACACCCUGGGAAACAGGAAACACUUCUUACAAGAAGAGAUGGGGUCGAAGGCGGUGUCUACCAGGAACCCUCCCUACACAGGUGUAGGCUAGUCAAGAAAAUGCCCCAUCACUAGGUCACUCUCCAGAGCAUAAAGCUGAGACUGGCACAGGCCUGUGACUCCAGAACUUGGGAGGUGAGGGCAGGAGAAUCGGGAGUUCAAGGCCAUCCUUGGCUACACAGUGAGUUUGAGUCUGUCUUGGGAAUACAUGAAAACUUACCUCAGAAAAAGAAAGCCCUCACAGGAACACAACAACCUUUAUGGACACUAUUUUAAGCACUCAAGGAAGCUGAUGGCACAGCUGUUACCCCCAGUCCUGUGACUCCUGAGCUUCUAAUAAAGGAUAGCCAAUGCCCUCUGACCUUUCUCCCUAUACCUGUCCCAGGGCCCACAUUCGAGUCACCCUAAAACAGUCCACUAGGUCUACUCUUGUGUUUUCUGCCAUUCUUCCCUCCAUGCGAGAGUGAUUUAAGGUCACCCAGAACUGCAGAUUCCCAGCUCCAACUUCCUUCUGCAAUGCUGUGUGUUGCCUGCAUUACCCAAGCCCUUCACUCAGCUUUCCCUGAGUUAGAGCUCUACAGCUACCAUCUCCCCAAUCUCUACAGGAACGCGGAUGCCGGCAUCUCAAAUGCUUCCAGCUCCCAGCUAAGAGAACACUGAUUCCCCAAAGUGCCGAUACAUUUUCUCUGUGCUGUCCUACAACAGAACAAACUAUUACAUUGCCAUUGUGUCAAUCCCCGAGCUCCAGCAAGCCCCUCGGGGAAAGUCCAGAUCAUCGAAGAACUUACUUGGUGGACUGGAGAGAGGGCUCAGAAGUUAAGAGCACCUGCUGCUCUUCCAGAGACUCAACACCCGCAUCAGCUGGCCCGUCUUCAUGCAGCUUCAGCUCUGCAGGGUCAGAGCUUCUGACCUCUGAGGAGACCCGCAUUCUUGUACACGCGUACACGUAUGCAAACACAUACUCAUACACACCCAUGUAUGCACAUGUAACAUUUUAAAAUUAAAAAAUAAAUGUAAAAA